UGCCAGCCGCCGCGGUAAUACGGAGGGUGCAAGCGUUGUUCGGAAUUAUUGGGUUUAAAGGGUGCGUAGGUUGUUUAUUAAGUCAGUGGUGAAAUCCUACGGCUUAACUGUGGAACUGCCAUUGAUACUGAUAGACUUGAGUGUCGUUGAGGCAGGCGGAAUUUAUGGUGUAGCGGUGAAAUGCAUAGAUACCAUAAAGAACACCGAUAGCGAAGGCAGCUUGCUUAGCGGCAACUGACACUGAGGCACGAAAGCGUGGGUAGCGAACAGGAUUAGAUA
This 279-nucleotide ribosomal RNA is filed under the name uncultured bacterium. RNAcentral describes it as "partial 16S ribosomal RNA". It matches the Rfam family "Bacterial small subunit ribosomal RNA", at positions 506 to 784 of the family's 1533-position model. The record is from RNAcentral.